GGAUGUGAGAGUGAUCUGGCUGCGACAAUCUGUCACCCAUUGAUCGCCAGGGUUGAUUCUGCUGAUCUGGCUGGCUAGGCGGGUGUCCCCUUCCUCCCUCACUACUCCAUGUGAGUCCCUCACAAAGCUGUGUGCUUGGUCAAAGAGGACAGCCUUCCCCAAUAGAGACAGACCGGUCUUUGGUUGAGGGUAUACAAGUAGCUGCGCUCCCCUGCUAGAACUUCCAAACAAGCUCUCAAAAAAGGAUAAAUUAACAAAACCAUAUGGUAGGAGGGGUACAACUCCACACAAUUCCCACCACC
Unclassified non-coding RNA from Erinaceus europaeus (western European hedgehog), 302 nucleotides. Its record names the gene 7SK. It matches the Rfam family "7SK RNA". Rfam says of the family: 7SK was discovered as an abundant small nuclear RNA in the mid-70s but a possible function has only recently been suggested. Two independent studies have found that 7SK RNA binds the CDK9/cyclin T complex (known as elongation factor P-TEFb). NCBI's taxonomy places the organism in Eukaryota, Metazoa, Chordata, Mammalia, Eulipotyphla, Erinaceidae. The record is from Ensembl.